CGUGCGUCUCAAAAUGUCAUAAAAUAUGUCUCAUAUCAAAACUAAUGUCAAGAUCAUGUCAAAAAUAUCAGAGUCUAACUCCCAGGCUAAAACUGUGGUGUGUGUCAUGCUAUCAUCCCGAGCCCUUCCCCUUGCUAGCUGAAGUACCUGAAACCAAAACUGAGACUGUAAGCACGAUGCAUAGUGAGCUCCCCCAAACUACCACAUACCAUACAAUAACAUAUAAAGCACAUACUGGGCCUUGCCCACUGCAUCAGACCGAAGUUUGGAACUAACUAGGGCCUUGCCCUCUGCAUCGGACCGAAGUCCGAAACUGACUAGGGCCUUGCCCUCUGCAUCGGGCCGAAGUCCGGAACUGACUAGGGUCAUGCCCACUGCAUCGGACCGGAGUCCGAAACUAACUAGGGCCUUGCCCACUACAUCAGACCGAAGUCCGGAACUGAAUGAACAUAGCAUAACAUAAUCAUAACAUAUAACAAUAACACAUAUACUGCAUACUGCAUCGGACCGCAGUCCGGAACACAUAACACAUACACAUGCCUGAAUCACAAAGACAUCAAGCAUACUGAACUACUUAUCGGGACCACCCUAGCAUCGGACCGCAGUCCGGAACUACUGCUAUCUAAACUGGCCGAAAUUGUGGCCGUAGACCCGCUCCUACUGAAAGGAAACUCACCUCACACUGCUGAAGUCCUGCUGACAAAACAAUAACUGCUGGAUGACAGAUUCCCGGUCUGUUAAUAUCAAAAUAACACCCAAUUAAUAAUUGGGUUCCAACUCAUAACCAUAAGUCCAUGAUUGCGGUAAAAGACUACUUUACCCCUAUCUUAGCUUGACUCAAGCCCAAGGUCUAAUCCAAAGGCCCAAAAGUCUAAUAAUGGACCAAGGCCCAACUAUGGCCCAUCNAAUUUUCCCAUUGGGCCCAAGUCUCUACAUGGUCUUGAUCAAAGGCCCAAUCAUUCAUUCUUGGUCCAACACUUGACAUUCUCAUAGUCCAACAUCUCAUAAUCAUCAAGGCCCAUACUAUGGCCCAAUUUUUCAAAUUGCGCCCAAACUCCUUACGUGGGCCUUACACUAAGUCCAUUAGAUUAUUCUAGUCUAUUUGCUUGCUUUUGGAUGGUCCAUUUUUAUCCCAAUCACCAAGGCCCAAUAGGAAGGCCCAACUCAAAGUCCAAGUGAAAUUAGGGUUUCACAUAAAAUGACAAUUAGGGGUAAGUGUUUCUCACUUAACCCAUUAAGGACUUAAUCCAUUAAGUCCUUUACUCUACUAGAUAAGUGAUAUGUGAUAAUUGGGCUUAAUACACAAUCCAAUCCCAAUAAGUCCAAGGCCCAAAUACUCACAAUUAGGGUUUUCUACCCAAACAUGGCCCAAUAGGCCCAAAAUUAAUCUUUAAGCCCAUUAGGAUUUUGCUAGGUCCAUUAGGGUUUUGCUUGUGGGGCACCACCCACUACCACCUCGGGUAGUGGUGGUUAACGGCGACACACAGCGACGGCCACCACCUUAUGGUGGUGGUUAUUAUUAUUUUUCAUUAUUCAAUACUAAUUACAGUUACAAGGCUUUUAUCCAAAAUAACACACACACACACUCACUAACACACACUCUCACUAACACACACACACUAACUAGCACACACACACAACCACACCGUGGCGUCCGACGAUGGCGCUUGGCGGAAGCCACCACCCUAUGGUGGUGGUGAUGCUAUUUUCGAGAACUUCAACUAUACACACCCACACACACCAAGUGAAACACGCAUAUCUUCACUCCUAUGCUCAGAAAAGGAAACCAACCACCCACCGGGCGGCGUUUCUCUUGUCAAACAACAACGAUGUCAGUAAGCACUUGCUUGGGAAUUUAGACGCAACCACGACCUUAUGGUGGUGCGUGACGACGGCAGCGGCAUCCUUUACGACCACAACAGUGGCUAAAAGCGGCGUUGCAGCAACGAACUAGAGAGAAGAAGAGAUGAGGAGGAUGACCGGAGACCACCUUGGAACGAAGCAAUGCCCACAACAAGAAGUGGAGGAAGGAGAUGGCGAUCCAAUAGCGAAGGAGCAGCGGCAGGAGGCUCGGCAGCACAGCGGUGGACGGUCUCGGAAGAGGGAAACACCACAGUAACCUCGGCACCGGCCACAGUCCCGUCAUCGAAGUCGCAUGGAGUCGCCGGCGAUCCUACUAUGGCCUCACGGAGGCAGUUGUUGGGACGAAGGGGUGAUAAGGUGAGGGUGGCGGUUGCAUAGGGGGGUUUAGGGUUAGGGUUUAGUCGGUGGUGAAGUUUUAUACCCGACUUCACUAAAAGUGUGCCAUAAUAUCAAGAUCAUCCCUCCCUUUCUCUUUUUCUUCCAAACCAAGGCCAUAAUUUACCCUUCCCACCCUUGCUCACGAAAUUUCUUUCAUAUCUAGUCCCACAGUUACAUUUCAGCCCCUCCUUACAAAUUAUUCUUCAAAUAAAGUCCAUAUAUUACCUUUUAAACCCUGGCUUUCAAAACUCUUUAAAAUGGAGUCCAGAAUUACCUUUUAGCCCUUGCUUCUCAUAAUCUAUCCAUCUUAAGUCCCGAUAAUUUACCACGUGGUCCUUACCUUCAUAAAUACUUACAAUGACACUUUUAAUCCCCGACUUCUAAAAUUGUAACAAUUAGCCCUUCGAGACCAUCCUUAAUAUAUAAUUAUUUAUUUUAGGGCUACCAUUCAUUCAUAAAUUUCAUCUAUUUAAUUAUUUAAUAAACGGGGUGUUACAUAUACAUUCUUUGGAAAGUAGUUGUGUUAUCAUGGUUUUGACUCACAAAAUUUUUAAUUGAACUACUUGGAUUUGAUCUCAACAACUCACCACCAUAAUCCCAUACUUUAGCAUAAUGGUCACUCAAUUUCCCUUCUAUCAAAGACAUGACCCUGCACUUUAACCAGGACACUGCAGUAGAAUCUGCUUAGGAUAAUUACCUGCAUUUCCUUACACUUCAACUUAGGCUUCUUGAUCAAUUCUUUCAGAAAUUUGUUUCCUAAUCAUGUUGGAUCCAUAUGGAUGGUAUUAUUGUAACUCCUAACACACUUAUGUUUGUCAACAAGUUUCUUAAUUUUGAAAUGACCUCUCUGUGCUUAUCCAAGAAGCCCUAACAUUAAAGGGACAUUGGAAUUUUUUUGGAUCACUAGCACGUACAACAAUUAGCCUAACACUGUCACAUUUCUUGAACUUUAUCUUAUAGCCAGUAUAAAUAGCGUGGUUGGUUAAACAUAACUUCAAUUGAUGGGGCGAUUCAUACCUCUCUCCCAGAAAUGGUCUCAUCUUGUUCCAUUCCACCUUUGGAUCGUGGGUGUUAUACUCAAACUCAAGCUCAGAAUUUUUGUCACUUUCAGUUGAUACUUCAUUAGAACCAGAUACUUCAUUAGAACCAAAUACUUCUCGAUUAAUGUCAAAAUGUUCUUCGUUCUCCACCACAUCAUCUUCAUUUAAGUCACCAUCAUCAUCGAUAUUUUCAAUUUCAAGGAUUGCAAAGUCAUCACCUUCUUCACCACUUAUCUUGGCCCACAAGCUGUUCAAGAACGCGUCAUUGCAUCUCUUGGUUUGCUUCUUCUUCAAAUCCUUGUCUAUUGUAAUAUCAAUAGUUUUAAAAUCCCAAGCGUCUUCCAUUUGCAAAGCUUGGAAGACUCGAACUCAUGCCCUCAGUUGUCAUCUUCUUCAUAGGUAAAAACCCUAGUUUCUACGAAAGGAGUGGAUAUUGGGCUAACUGUGUGAUUUACCGUUGGAGGAAUAAGUGUAUGAGGUUUGGUUGACUCACCUUCCACUUAAUCUCAUUUAAUGCCACAUCGAUUUGCAAGAGUGGUAACCGGAUAAAAUGAGUCAAUUCUCUACUUUAUCCGAUAUUCUAUGUUUUUUCGUUAACAUUUUUUAGUUUAGGAUUUUUUUCGUAAAUAGGGGCAAAAUAAUAGGAUUUUAUUAGAGAUUUCCUAAUUUUUAUUUUAAUUUUCCUUAAGAUAUGAUAAAUAUUAGAAACUGAAAAUGAUGUCAACAAUUUACAUAUUAUAUCAACAUCACAUCGUUCAACACUACAUCGUUCAACACUACAUCCUAAUUUUUAUUUUAAUUUUCCUUAAGAUAUGAUAAAUAUUAGAAACUGAAAAUGAUGUCAACAAUUUACAUAUUAUAUCAACAUCACAUCGUUCAACACUACAUCGUUCAACACUACAUCCUAAUUUUUAUUUUAAUUUUCCUUAAGAUAUGAUAAAUAUUAGAAACUGAAAAUGAUGUCAACAAUUUACAUAUUAUAUCAACAAUUAGGGGUGACAAUUGUGGACACGACACGACAAAAAUACACGACAUGAAACGAAAUUGGGACGAAACUGAAAUUCGAAUUCGUGUUCGUGUCGUGUUCGUGUCAAGUGUAAAAAACACGAUGUCGUGUCAUGUCGUGUUCGUGUUACAAAUUCGACACGAUAUUGACACGAUUUAGCAUUUAUUUGUCGUGUUUUUCGUGUUUCUCGUGUUUGUGGUGUUAUGUAUGAUUAAAUAUUAAUUAAAUACACUAAUUGUUAUAUUAUGUUAGUUUUUCGUGUCGUGUCGUGUUUGUCGUUUUUUAAUUGGUUCGUUUUCGUGUUAGUUAGAAAAAACACGACAUCGUGUCGUGUCGUGUUCGUGUUACAUAAAACCUUGUCGUGCCGUGUCGUGUCAGACAAAAACACGACACGAUGGCCCGAUUUGCCACCCCUACAUAGGAAGUAACGUUUAUAUUUAUACGUUGCAUAACGAUGUAUGGGGACUGAAAACAUGUAUAAUUAGUUGCGAGUGACUAAAUUGAAAAGAAAAAAAAGAGUAGUGGGUCAUCCAUCAUAAACUAUUGUUAAAAUACAUAAUGUUAUCUGAAACUAGAAAUAAAUUGCAUUUUGUCAUUUAUUCAUAACAUUUCAAGAACAUUCCAAUAAUUCAAUUAUUCACUAUUAAGUUAUUUCAGGAGACUUUUUGUGAUUUUCAAACAAAAAUUAUCCAAAUAUUUCCAAACUAAGUGUUUAUUUAAUUAAUUUUCACCCAAUAAUGAAAAUUAAAAGCAUUUUAUCCAUGUACUGCAAAAGCUAGACAACUUUGUAAAAUUUAUGUUUUCUUAGGCUAUCAGCUCCAUGUCAAGGGUCGUGGAGAGCUUCUAGAUCAACCACCACGAACCAUCACAAAAUAACCAAGUACUCUCCACACACACACAGAGAGAGAGAGAGAGAGAGAGAGAGAGAGAGAGAGAGAGAGAGAGAGCGAGAGNNNNNNNNNNNNNNNNNNNNNNNNNNNNNNNNNNNNNNNNNNNNNNNAGAGAGAGAGAGAGAGAGAAGAAGAAGAAGAAGAAGAAGAAGAAGAAGAAAAGAUUGGUCGUGAUCAAUUGUCCUCCCCACCACAACUCACAACGAAAACACCCGAUCACGAAGCGGUAGAAUGGUGUGCAUGGUCGUUGUUCGUUGACACAUCAACCACGAUGCCCUCCAUAAUAUGUAUUACAAAAGGCCUAAGUUGUAAUUUUAGAAUAACUAAAAUAAAAGUAAGAAAAACUACAACAAAAAGUUUUAGUGCCAAAAUCAUUUUCUUUGGGUUAUUAUGUGCAUGCAUGUAAAAACACAAUAAUAAUCCAAAUCAAUAAAUAAUAAGAAAAAUGGCAAAAAGUUUUUUUUUUCUUUUAUUUAUUUAUUAUUUUUUUAAAACACAAACAUAUACACUUCCUACACUCCUCCUAAACCAAGCCUUUUUAUAAUGAUAUACAAGUGAAUCUAAGCAUAUUUCAUUCAUCUACUAUUUUUCAUCCAAACUUAAGAAUACGUAUUUCUAUUUAUAAAAUUAACAAAAAAAAUCCCAUGACCUAAUUUACAUAUCACUAACAAUUUGGGAAUUUUCAUUAAAAUGGAGAAAAGUUAACAAUUGCUGAAUGUUGCUAUCUUUUUAUAUUCGAGCUUAACUUUAUUAAACAUAACAUAUCUCAUACUCAAUUCCUCAUAUAUUUAUAAUAUAUGUGAUUUUAUUGAAAACCACCAAAAGCCAAAGUUUCCAUAACAUCAACAUCAACCUCAUGCAAUUCAAUUCAAACACAUCUUUAGAAUCCUUAUGGAAUGCUCAUUGAUAAUUCGUUGAAAGAUUGUACAUUCUUUAACAUCUUGUAUUCAAAACAUCAUCACUCCAAUUUACAGACAAAUAUCAGCCAAAAAGCUCCAAAUAUUGUUUCACUUACGCUAAAAGCUCCAAAAUCAGUACUGUAGACUAUAGUGACAACAAAGGUAGCAGAUACAGAAAAUGGCAAAGAUGGUGCAUCUUUUAGUAUCACUUAAGUAUUUGGUCAAAGAAAGUCAAAACAGUUUCUUCAAAAGGCCUUUAACAUAUUUUGAUUGAUUAAUAAUGAUGCCUUUUGAAUCCGAGUGCAAUGAGCUAGGUACUAGUUCACAAACAAAUAACACUUUAAAAGUUAGUAAACACACUCUUAGGUAACAAACACUCGGUUGACAUCUUAGAAUACCUAAGACAUACUUUCUUAUGUUUUCUUAGAUCGAUAUCCACGUUCUUGAGCUUUCCAGAUGCCUAUAAUUCCGCACACAGUUCACUUUGUAAUACCAACAUGUAACAUGCUAAAGCGUGACAAACAACACUUUACAAGCAAUACAAUAUUCUUCUAUCGUACUUCAUAUAUUUCGUCAUGCAUAUCGAAUUCUUCAAUAUAUAGACAAGCAAUAUAUGUUGAGAGUAUCAUAACAUGUGACUUAGUAUACUCAUUGACAAUCUAAGAUAGUAGAUUCUAUCAUCCUCCAAACCAAUAAUGACACAAAUACGAGGAAAUCAACGGAUGUUGCAGUUGGCUGGAAUGGAGCUAGCUACUCCCCUUUUACUCAUCUACCUCUUUAAAACCUUACGUAAUUUUCAUUAUUGUACUUUUUGCCCACCUUAGUUUCUUGCUAAGGGUUGUGGUUUCUUUAAUGCUAUCUUACUUGUCGUUUCCAAAAAAUACUACCAACUUUUAAUAGAAAAGAUAAUUUUUCCGAUGUGAUGCCUUUUAUAAAUUAAAUUACAUAACAUUUAUUCACAAAAAGCAUGAUAUAACAAUUAAUUCACAAAAAGCAUGAUGUCCAACGUAUACAUAUAAUCGAUUGUCUUUACCCUCUACUAAAAUCUGAGCACUAUCACAUUCUUCUAUUUAAUCAUUUUAUUUGAUAGAUUCUUUUUACUUUUUUUUACUAAUUCUUAACUAAACUAAUAACUUACAAUAAAUUCUAAAAAGAAAACAAGAAAAACAUGACCAAAAAGGCUUAGAAUUUAUGAAAUGAGGUCAUUUUAUUAGAAGAUGUCAAGUAGGAUUGUAAACAUAUCGAGUUAUUCGAGCUCAAACUAGACUCGAACUUGUUCAAGUUCGAUUUGAAAUACAAGAAACAAGACUAAAAUCAUGUAAGGAAUCGUGUUUGAGGUAAUAAGAAUUAAGAAACUUAACUCGCAUUAUAAUUUAGUUUAACUUGUUCUAUUAAAUUCAAACACGAUUUUAUAGAUAUUUUCGAGUUAUUCAAGUUCUUUGGUUGACAUUCGAUAGUCAUUUUUGAGCUAUUCAAGCUUUUGUCGGGUUUUAUUUAUGUAUAUGUCGAGUUAUUCAUGUUCUAUUGUCGACAUUCAGACAUUAAUAUGACUUUUAUUUAUGUAUUUCUAUAGAAAAAAUAAAAAUAAAUCUAGAAUAGAAGAGUAAAAACUGAAAAAAAAUCCAUAAAACAUGGGCAAUUAAUGUGAAAAGAGCAGAUUUGGAGGAUGAGAAGGGUAAUGAUACAGUGUUAUCAAAAGAAGUCUCUGGAGGGUACAUCGGUUGAAAUAGACGAUUCGGGAAAACAAGGGUCCCGCAUCGCACGAUAGUGCUUGUUGUACAACCUCAGUUUAUGGUGCCUAAUGUCUUGAUGUGACAAAAAUCACCAUUCGAUCUUAUCAACUUCGAAUCCUUCUUGUUUACAUCCGUCGAUUACAUCUGGUCCCUCCCGCACGACCACGUGAAUUCUCCUGCACCCUCAUUAUCCUUGAAAAGUCUGCUACCCCCAACACUUUUCUAAUUGCUAGUUACUAACUAAGAAUUCGAUUUUCAAACAAUUGUAUCACACAAAAAUAUAUAUAUAUAUAUAUAUAUUUUAAACAUGGCUAACCUAAGAGUGUGUAAAAUGUGCAUCCGCACUGGGUCCCAAGAAAAAUAGGCCCGAUUUUUAACCAAAUUAUAUAUAUUUAAUAUCUAAAUAUAUAUCCUUUUAUACAAAUUAAUUGCAUAAUUUGGAUAGUUCAUAUGGCUUAAACAUUUGCGUAGGCGCGCUUGUUUUUAUAUAUGAUGAGGGUUCGACUCCUCUUCACUUUAGAAGUUACAGUUUUGGCCCCUCUAACUUUAUAUGUUAGUUUUUCUUAGUGUACUAGUUUUUCAAAAGGGUUAAUGAUCUAAAAGGUAACGAGCUUUGGUUUUUGUCCAUAUUUAGGUAAUCAUGUUUUUUUUCGUUUAUAUUUGACCAUUGAACUUGUUUGACCUGUUCAAAAUAAGGUAAUAUGACUGCUAAUUACGAUAAUAUUACCGGAUUAUGAACAGGUCAAACAAGUUUAUUAGUCAAAUGUAUACGAAAAAAACAUGCUUACCAAAAUAUGGACAAACCAAAGUUUCUUACUCGUUUUGGUAAUAUUGGACAAGAAUCGUCUCAGGGAUUGUGCCUUAGGAUCAGGCUCCGAUAGUCAAUGAACAAUUAGGUUAGGCUUGGUCUAAAUUGGUUUGCCCCAAGACCUGACCAAAGUUUCUUAUCCGUUUUGGUAAUAUUUGACACAUACAACCUAGCCUUUUAAGCGUAUACAACCUAACCCGUAACUAACUAGGCCUAAACUGGGUUGCCCCAAGACCUGACCAUCUCCUCAUAUACAAAGACCAGACAACCCAAUUUCAUGUCAAAUCAAUGGGUCUUAUGACUACUUGCACUUAACAUAAAGAACUUAAUAUUAUCAAAAUGGGUAAUAAACUUUGGUUUUUGUCCAUAUUUAGGUAACCAUGUUUUUUUCGUAUACAUUUGACCAAUAAACUUGUUUGACCUGUUCAUAAUAGGGUAAUGUUACCGUUAAUUGUCAGUCAUAUUACCUUAUUUUGAAAAGGUUAAACAAGUUCAAUGGUCAAAUAUGUACGAAAAAAACAUGGUUAUCUUAAUUUGAACAAAGACCAAAGUUCGUUGUCUUUCUAAUUCAUUAACCCCUUUCAAAAGGUAUAUACAUAAACUCUCAAUUUUAUAAUUUUGUAUUUGGCCCUUUUUCAUUAAUUUGUUUUAAUUUUUUAGUUUUUCUUAAUACANNNNNNNNNNUAUAAUAUUGUAUUUAGGGGCUUAUUUUUAUUUUUUGUACAGGGCCUUCAAAUUCAAUGGAUCGGCCCUAAGUUUAAGGCCAUAUCCAACCGACCUCUAAACCCCUUUUACUUUAUGAUUUACAUGUAAGGAUGAAAACGAGCCGAGUCGAGCCCAAGCCUGGCCAAGCUCAAUUCGGACUCGUUUAAGUUAUAUGAGGCUCGAGCUUUCUUGUACUGAGCUCGACUCGAGCUCGUAAAGAAUUAUACAAGCUCGAUCAAGGUUCAGGCUCGACGCGUUUUUUAUCUGACAUGCCUAAAUAAGCUUAAGUUCGGCUUGAGCUCUUGUUAAGAAGCUUGUUUACCAAUACUCUAAAUCCAUAAUUCCCCAAAUAUGUUUUUAGUUUAAUAUAUAAAAAUAAUUAUAAAUUAUAUUAAAUAAAGGCUCAUUUAGGCUUGCGAGCCUUAAUACUAAGCUCGAGCUCGAUUCGGGCUCAUUUAAAAUCAGUUUCAAGUCGAGCUUUUAACGAUCCGAUCCCAAACUGCUCACAAAUAGUUUGGUUCGUUUGCACCCCUAUUUGCAUGUCAUUUUCAAUCCAACCGUUCUUCAAAAUCAUAUUUACUUUUAUGUUGUUCCUUUUUAACAUUAUAUAUGAAAUAAUAUGAUUAGAAUCUAACAUUUUAAAGGUUGAUUGAAAUUUAAAUAUUAUUUUGAUGUUAAACACACAUCAUUAUUUAACAUCAAAAUAGUAUCUGAAUUCCAAUCAAUCUUUAAAAUGAUGAAUUUUAGACUUUUAUAUUUGGCAUUUAUGUAAUUGGAGAAGCUCUAAUAGUUGUAUUUAGACAUGACAAAACACGACACGACAACCCGACAUGAAAUUAGCGGGUUUUGGUAAGAGAUUUUGAUACAUUUAAAUAAACGGGUUGACACGACACGAUACGAUAAUUUAUCGGGUAAAAUUAGGGUCAAUAUUUUCAACUCGAAUAUGACCCGUUUAAUUAUAUAUCAUUUUUUUUAAAUCUCAUAUUUUUAUAAAUAUAUUAUAUAUUAUAGACUUUUAGUGGGCUAAAAUCAAGAACUAAAUAUAAAAUUCAAACUUUCAAAGUGACUUAAUUUUACUUGUCCUCACCAUCUAUCCUAUUUGCUCCAACUCGUUCCUUAACUCUAACUCUUUCUAUUUUGCUUUCUAAACUUACCAUGAAUUUUGUCAUUGCACCUCUCAACUCCAGUCUUUCCCUUUUUCCGUUAUGCCUACCCGUCUCCUACUUUUCAACCUUUUAAAAUGUUUCAAUCCGACAUGAUACAGCAUAUUUACAAAGUCUAAACAUUAACCUGAAACCCGACACGAAAAUAAAUGGGUUGACGUGACACAACACAAUAAUUAAACAUGUCGAGUUAAAGUCAAGACCUCUCAACUCAUUUAAUGUCUUGACAUAACAUGAACCCGAUACAUUUUCUAGGUCUAGUUAUAUUUUAAUAGAUGUUAAAUGAUAACAAAAAGUUUUAUAAUUAUAAAAUGACCAAAAUAACAUGAAAAUGGGGACGAAAAAAAAAAGAUAGUUCAUUAAGGAUAGUAUUGACAUUUAUCUCAAAAAAUCACAAGUUUAAAAAGUGAGAAAUAAACUAUUUCUUAAAAACUCAUUUUUGAAGGUAUUAAAAAGUUGUUUUCAAAAGCAUUUUUAAAGAGGUAGGGGCGAUAAUUGUUGACACGGUAUGACAAAAAUACAAAACACAAAACGACAUUGAUACGAAACUGAAAUUUGAAUAAAUGUUUGUGUCGUGUUCGUGUUAAGUAUAAAAAACACGAUAUUGUGUUGUGUCGUGCUCGGGUUCAGAUUUUGACACGAAAUUGACAUGAUUAAGCAUUUUGAUUGUCAUGUUUUCAUGUUUGUCGUGUUAUGUAUGAUUAAAUAUUAAUUAAAUAAACUAAUUUUAUAUUAUGUUAUCUUUGUCGUGUCGUAUCAUGUUUGUCGUUUUUUAUUAGGUUCGUUUUCGUGUUAUUUAAAAAAAACAUGACAUCGUGUCGUGUUGUGUUCAUAUCACAUAAAACAUUGUCAUGUUGUGUCGUGUUAGACAAAAACAUGACACAAUGACCUGAUUUAGGGAUGAACAGUUUUUCCCAAAUCUCGUUCCCGUACCGGUACCGUAUCGGAACCGGUACCGAACAGUACCGAAUUUUAAAAUAUGGGACGGUAAUGGGUCCUCAAAAUACAUGAAAUUCGGGAAUCGGUACCGCCGGUACCGGUACUAGUAUCGAAUAUCGGUACCAUUCCCGGUACCGGUACCGGUGAUGUUAAUUCGGUUCGGUACUCAGGAUUGAUUUUUGAUCAAAUUCGGUUUUCGAGAAAUCGGGAACGAUACAGGUCGAUACUGGUUCCGUCCCACGCACAUCCCUAACCUGAUUUGCCACCCCUAGUGGCAGGCCACCACGACUGUUGCACACCAUCCCAUGUGCGUCGUGGUGUGGUGGAUUGUGGUCACCACCACAUUUGACAACAACCAAUUGUCAUUCUUCUUCUCUCCUGCAGCUUAUCAUCUCUCUUAUUUUUUUUUCUCUUCUUCAAUAGGUAGUAUACAAACACAAGAUGUGGUGGUUUUUGGUAGCGUUACUUCCUGAGGUGGAAGGAAACCACGACCAUGGCCAUGGUCUCCAUACCAGCUGACCUAAGUUUGUCAAACAUUUGUUUAAUUUACUAGCGUAGAAAAAAAAAGCAAUAAAUCAAUAAAUUAUUUUAAAAAACAAUCCUAAACACCUCCUAAAUAAUUAUACAUGAUUUUUUUUUAUUUAGAAGAUAAUAACUUGAUGAGUUCAAAUCUAACUUAAUGUAAUAGGACAUUAACCUUUAUAUNNNNNNNNNNNNNNNNNNNNNNNNNNNNNNNNNNNNNNNNNNNNNNNNNNNNNNNNNNNNNNNNNNNNNNNNNNNNNNNNNNNNNNNNNNNNNNNNNNNNNNNNNNNNNNNNNNNNNNNNNNNNNNNNNNNNNNNNNNNNNNNNNNNNNNNNNNNNNNNNNNNNNNNNNNNNNNNNNNNNNNNNNNNNNNNNNNNNNNNNNNNNNNNNNNNNNNNNNNNNNNNNNNNNNNNNNNNNNNNNNNNNNNNNNNNNNNNNNNNNNNNNNNNNNNNNNNNNNNNNNNNNNNNNNNNNNNNNNNNNNNNNNNNNNNNNNNNNNNNNNNNNNNNNNNNNNNNNNNNNNNNNNNNNNNNNNNNNNNNNNNNNNNNNNNNNNNNNNNNNNNNNNNNNNNNNNNNNNNNNNNNNNNNNNNNNNNNNNNNNNNNNNNNNNNNNNNNNNNNNNNNNNNNNNNNNNNNNNNNNNNNNNNNNNNNNNNNNNNNNNNNNNNNNNNNNNNNNNNNNNNNNNNNNNNNNNNNNNNNNNNNNNNNNNNNNNNNNNNNNNNNNNNNNNNNNNNNNNNNNNNNNNNNNNNNNNNNNNNNNNNNNNNNNNNNNNNNNNNNNNNNNNNNNNNNNNNNNNNNNNNNNNNNNNNNNNNNNNNNNNNNNNNNNNNNNNNNNNNNNNNNNNNNNNNNNNNNNNNNNNNNNNNNNNNNNNNNNNNNNNNNNNNNNNNNNNNNNNNNNNNNNNNNNNNNNNNNNNNNNNNNNNNNNNNNNNNNNNNNNNNNNNNNNNNNNNNNNNNNNNNNNNNNNNNNNNNNNNNNNNNNNNNNNNNNNNNNNNNNNNNNNNNNNNNNNNNNNNNNNNNNNAAAUAAUAAACUAUCAUAUUUUUAUAAAAAUAAAUAUAUUUAUAUAAUAAAUUAAACAAAUAUAUUUAUAUUUUAUAUGUUUAAAAUGUUUAUAUUUAUUUUUGAUGUUUAAAAUGUUUAUGAUAUUUUUAUAAAAAAAAAUAUGAUAAUAUUAUUAUGUAUUUAAACAUAUAAAAAAUAUGAUAUGUUAGUAUUUCUGAAAUACAAACCUUUUAAACAUAUAAAAUAUUUUUAUUUACAUUUUAAAAACAAUUAAUUGAAUGUAUUUGAUGUCAUAUUAUUCAUAUUAACUAUUUUAGCAUAAUUAAUUAUUAACUAACAAAUGUUUUUUAAUUUUGUUUUGAAAAGUUGAAGUAUUAAUUAAGAAAUAUAUUCAAAUUUUGAUAAGACUAGGUACCUUUUUUAAAAUUUAAAUAUAAAAAGUUUAUAUCAAACCAAUAUAAAAGUUAUCAUAUGUAAAGCUAAAAAUAUGUUUCAGUAGAAAACUAUUUAGUUUUAUCAAAUUUUGAAUAUAUAUUUAUAUUUGAUAUGUUUAUAAUCUUAAGGGUUUUUUUUGCAAAAUAUUUGUAAACUUAAGGAUUUUUUUGCAAAAAUAAUUCAUAGUAACCUGGAAACCUGCUAUUGCAAGUAACAAGGGCAAAACCGACAAAAAAAUGAUAAGUUUACGGUAUAAACGAACAAAACAUCUGCCGAAGGGUAAAACUGACAUUUUCUGCCAAACUUAAGGUUUUUUAUGAUAUUAUCCCUAUAAUAUUUAAUAAAUAUUAUGAAAUUUAUUUUUUGAAAUGUAAGGUAAAAUAUCAUUCAGUGUCAUUUCAUACAUUUUAUUCUCGGGGAAAAAAAACUUACUUUACUUUUACACCACUUUAUCCAAAUAAAAGUCAUUACUCGUUACUAAUUAAAUACUUUAUUUGAUGGGGAGAAAGAAAAAGAAAAAGAAAAACAACCUAGUUGGAUAUCAAUCAAUGCAUUAGUCAAUUUGAUUCACUACAACAUCAAUUAACGUAAGACCUAACGUUAUUGAUGAUUACCACAUAAAUACUUUUACUUAUUUAGGAAAGAUUACAAAUUUUUGUGCAAAUAUCUUACACAUAGUUUCAACUUUCAAGAACUUGACAAAUACAUAUGCGUCGAACUGAUUUAGGCAGUAUAUUCAUAAAUCUAUCGGUGAAUAUAGUGAUAUAUUCAUGUGUCAUGUUCUUGAAAUAAGUUUGUAGAAAAGGAUUAAGUUAUCAUUACAUGAAGUACAAUAUUGAUAUUUGUCAGUUUCAAAUUGAACAUGACUUGAUUAUAAUCUAGAUAAAAGUCUAAACUCCACUGAAGUUAAUAUUAAAUCCAUAUAGUUUUUCUUUAUUAUUAAUAAAAACAUACGUCUAUACGGAAACACUUUUUCCUUAAAAUUUUACACUUUAACCAUAUAGGAGAGAAAUUAAGAAGUCCACAAAUAGCAGUAUUACCAUUUCCUGAGGCCAAAAGUAAAAGUAGAGCGGCAAAAAUUGAUCGAUUUAUCGAUUCAAUCUGAACUCAAUUCAAAAUUAAUAGGAUUUUAAUUAAUAUGUCUUAUCCAUUUAAUUAAAUAGGUUGGAUUAAGUAAAAAUUAUCAACAUGUUUUCAAUCUGUCAAACCAUUUAACUUUAAUAUAUAUUUUAUUUCAUAUUAUCGGUAUUAAUUUAUUAAUUAUAAUGUUUUAUUAUUAUUUAUGUUUUAAAAAAAGACUAAAUUGCAAGAAAAUCACUAUAUUAUCAUAAAAUUUUGAUUUUGAUACCGAGUUAUUUUUUUCUUAAUUAUGUCACUGUAUUUAUAAUUUUAUUGUAAUAUAUAAAAAAAUGAUCAAUUAUUAAUGUUCUUCCGAUAACCACUUUUCCCGAAUAGCAAUAAAGUCACUAAGUUUACCAAAAUUUCGAUUUUGACAUCAAAUUUAAAAUUGCAAGAAAGUCACUAUAUUAACACAAAAUUUCAAUUUGGACACCGAGUUUUUUUUCAUAAUUAUUUCAUUAUAUUUACAAUUUUAUUGCAAUGUCAACCAAUUGACCAAUUCAAAAGAUGUGGUUUAGAAGCUCGAUUUGUACAACAAAUAAAUAAAGGUUGAUCAAAUGGUUCAAACUAGGGAUGAAAGUGGGUCCAAACCUGGACCGGAUGGACCCGGACCCGAAAAACCCAGAACCGGUUAACGGUAUUUUGUAGAACCGGAAACCGAACCGGUAUAUAGGAAGCGAUUCCGGUUCGGUUUCGGGUACAAUACCGGGUAAAGGGCGUCUAGAACCGAAAAACCCGGAAACAUCGAAUUAGGUACGUUGGAACCGGAUAAAGUGGACUUAGAACCAGAAAGCCCAAAAAAACCGGAAUUUUUUGGUAAUUACUUACUACUUAGUGGGUUGAACUUUAAAAAUUUUCAUAUUUAUAUCUCGACUUUGGGAGACUGUAAUUCAUUGAAUAUAAAACCAAAAUUGACAAAAUUAUAGUCUAAAAUCAUGGACAAACUUUAAACUACACUUUGGAAAAAACUGCAUGUCAAUCCAAUUUUAAACGAAUGAGAUAUGCACGUGUUAACGUUUUCACAUAAUUUAAAGUACAAAAACCAAUAGUUCAAAAGUUGAAAAUUUUCAGCUUUGAUAUCCCAACUUCAGGGACUGUAAGUCAUUGAAUAUUAAACAAAAAAUGACAAAAUUAUAGUCUAAAAAAUCAUGUACAAAUUCUAAACUACAAGUUGGAAAAAACCACAAGUCAAUCCGACCUUAAACAAAUUAGAUAUGUAUGUUUUAAAACUUUCACAGAAUACAAAAAAAACGAAUAACUAAAAACUUUCAGCUUUGAUAUCUUGACGUUGGGGGACUGUAAGUCAAUUACUAUAAAACUAAAAAUGACAAAUUUAUAGUCUAAAGUCAUGUAUAAACUCUGAAUUACACAUUAGAAAAAAUCAUAUGUUAAUCUGACUUGAAACAAAUGAGAUCUGCAUGCUUUAAACGUUUCACAAAAACCGGUUCCGGUCCCAAAAAGUGGUUCCGAUUCCUAACAUCGGUUCCGGUUCUUAGACCCGGUUUCACCGGACCCAAUGGACCCAAACCCGGAUUACACGGAACCCAGAUAAAGCCAAUUUUUAAACCCGGAACCGGUUCUAUAUAUUCUAGUUCUAACGGUUCUGGUUCCGGUCCGAUUCCGGUUCCGAUCCGAUUUUCCGGUUUUAAAUCUCAUCCCUAGUUCAAACUCAUUUACAAGUCAGCAAAAAAGGCAUAGUCGCCCUUUUAGGAGAUGCUACUUAGUUUAAAAAAAGUCGAUUUGUACAACAAGCAAAUGAAUACACCUACAAUGUCGAUUUAUCUACACAACAAAUAAAUGAAGAUUCAUAUAAACUCACUUCUAAACCAAUUGACUGGUUACCAUAAAUGUAGCAGGAUAAUAAAUAAAUGGCAUGACAAUAUUGUGAUGUAGAAGCCAUGUAAAAUUUUAUGUGGUAAGAUUAAGUUUCAAAUAUAAGGGUUUGCAUCGAACUCGAUUUCACAUAUCUUUUUAGGUCAUCCAGUGGUUCAAAGUCACCUAAAAGUCAAUGAAAAAAGAGUACUCACCCUUUUAGGAGAUACUUUUUAUUAUAAUGUUUAAUGUUUAGUUUUUUUCAGAGUAUUUCUUCACAACUCACAUAUGAAAGUCAAUCUAAUGGUUCAAACUCACUUAAAAGUUAGUGAAAAUGCAUACUUACCUUUUCAGGAGAUGUUAUUAGGGUUUACAAGUUCGAUUUGUACAAUAAGAUAAUAAAGAUCCUUAUAAUGUCGAUACAGGAGAUGCUUAGUUAGUUUGAACUACUAAAUCGGUCUUAUAGGGAUCUUUAUUUACUUGAUGUACAAAUCAAGCUUGUAAACCAUAAUGACAUCUCGUGAAAGGGUGACUAUGCCCUUUUCACUCACCUGUAAGUGAGUUCGAAUCAUUGGACCAACUAUUUAUUUUUUGUACAAAUCGAGCUUUUAAACCGCAAUAGCAUCUCUUGAAUCGAUUAAUUGGUUGAUACUGCAAACAAAAUUCUAAAUGUAAUGACUAAUUGAGAAAAAAAAACUCAGUGUCAAAAUCAAAUUUUUUUAGUAAUAUAGGGACUUUCUUGCAAUUUGAAACUAGAUGUCAAAAUCAAAAUUUUGAUAAACUUAAUGACUUUAUUGUAAUUCGAAAAAAAAAUGGUUACCGAGAGAACAUGGAGAACCGAUCAUUUGGUUGAUAUUGCAACAAGACCGUAAAUAUAGUGAUAUAAUUGAGAAAAAAAAUAACUUGGUGUCAAAAUCAAAAUUAUGUGGUAAUAUAAUGAUUUUUUUUUUUUUUUUUUGCAAUUUUCCUUUAUAAAAAUGCAAUCAUAAUUCUUUUUUUUUUGCGCCGACAACGUUUGCUAUUCUGCAAAAUACUUCCUAAAUAAACAUUUUGAAUGGUUACAUGAACAAUUUAUUUGUAUUUAUGAAUUGAGAUUAUGCUUUUUUUCAUACCAAAAAGGUGUAUGUUUGGAUAAUUUUUAUUUUAUUUUAAAUGAAUUAAUUCAUGUUAACUAAUUUACUUAGUAGUUUGGAUUGAAAAAUACCUACAAAUAUCAAUCCAAUAAAAACUUAUUUAUCUAAAAAAUUAGAUUGGGUUAAAAGUAUCAACCUAGAUAAAUAAAAAUGUCAGGUUCAAUUGAAAUCUUGAACCCAAUUAAAAAAGGGUUGAACCAAAUCCAAUCCAACCUAUUUUUGAAUUUUCUAAGUAUUUUGAUCACUUUAUACUUUGUAGUUAGGGGUGGCAAUUGUUGACACGACACGACACAAAACGAAAUUGGGACGAAACUGAAAUUCAAAUUCGUUCGUGUCGUGUUCGUGUUAAGUGUAAAAAAAUACGAUGUCGUGUCGUGUUCGUGUUUAAAAUUUGACACGAAAUUGACACGAUUAACAUUUAUUUGUCGUGUUUGUCGUGUUAUAUAUGAUUAAAUAAACUAAUUUUUUUAUUAUGUUAUCUUUGUCGUGUCAUGUUUGUCAUUUUUUAAUCGGUUCAUUUUCGUGUCAGUUAAAAAAAACACGACAUCGUGUCAUGUCGUGUUCGUGUUACAUAAAACAUUGUCGUGUCGUGUCGUGUCAGACAAAAACACGACACGAUGGCCCGAUUUGCCACCCCUAUUUGUAGUUUGUCCCUCUUCACUUUUGUAUUUUUUUUAGUGUGAAUUGAAUUUGUAAUUUUCUUUUGUCAGUUAAAAUAAAACUUAAUAUCAUAUGAAAAUAAACCUAUAUAGCAAAAAAGAGAAAUUAAAUACCUUUCAAUUUUUCUUCUUAUUUAUCUUCCUAACCAUUUGAAAUUAUAACAAGUAUCUUAUUAUUAUUAUUGUUUUAAAUAUAACAAUUAGCAUCAUUUCAUAUGGAUAAAAAGAAAAAGAAAAAAUAAAAGAAUAUUUAAUUUCUCAAUAAAAAAAGGAUCAUAUUUCCGUUAUACACCAAAGAUAAGGUUUGGUACAAAGAUAAAGUACCAAAUCCUGUUAGAAAACCGACAAUUCCAUUUAGGACAACAAAAUCUAACCAAAACCAAAAUACGGUCGUCUUUUUAAAAAUAAUAAUAAUAUGAAUACAUAUGCUUUAAAAAAUUCAAGAACAUAUAUUUUAAGAGCGCGUAUUCUAAAUAACCUUCUUAUUGUAAUUGUAACAAAUAAAUAAAACGUAUUGUAAAAACCAACAUUGGACCACUAGAAGUGUUGAUAGUUACUGCUAGUGAGUAAAAUCGACAUUCUCCAUACACUGUCUAUAGGGCACUCAAACAUAAAGGGCAUAUUUAAUGUUGAAUAAAAUGAAUCAAAAGCAUGCAAUUUCUAUGGUGAUGAUAUGGAAUCUAUGACCAUGAUGAUGAUGAUGAUGAUGAUUCAUGGUGUGGAGCAAGUUAGAAAAAGGCGCAAUUUUGGGUGGGCAGUAAAUGCGAAAGUGGUCCUGAAUCCUCCUGAUGUCUCAUUCAUAUUCAUGAUGUCACACUGACGACAUGUAUGGAUAUUAUGAUUUAUGAAAUUAUCAUGGUCGGCUGAAAUUUUUUUGAUUACUCAAAAGUCGGUUGAUAUAUGAUAGAACCAAAUUAAUUUUGAUGUGAGCAAAUACAUGUGCAAAUUAAAAUCUUUCUAGUCGAUGAACUUUUUGGGAGAAAAAUCAAGAAUUUGAGCUUAAAAGUUAAAACAAUUAUUCCUAGGGGGGCCUACAGCUACCUUCAAUACCAUGCGGUAGUAAAUGCGAAUGGUUUUCAAACCACACAACUCUUCUCUCCUAUUGUAUUCCCAGUUUUUGUUUCCAAGAAUUUAUUGAUGUUUUUUUGCUUAUUUGAGGCCAACUUAGAUGCUCUAGUCGUUUUACAUGCUAUAGGAGGCAACUGUUACGGAAUAGAGCUCAUUAAAGAAGCAAUCAAUAAUGCAUGGAGAAGAUAAGGGCAUUGGACCUUUAGCAUGCAUAUAUAUAUAAAAGUAAAACUCUUCUCUUUUGGAAUAGUACUUGCCAAAAUAUUAAUCAUCGUUUCUUACUUAAAGGAUCUAUCUUUAAUAUAACUAUACGAUGAGCAUCAUUCAUAGUUAUUUAUUUAUAUAUAGAACUAAUUGUCUGAACUCAGUUGGUGGAUGAUAUUUCUUGCACCUGAAUCUGUUGUACGGAAUGGAAGAAUGAAAACAAAGAUAUAUACCCAAUUAAUUAAUUAAGAAGUUUGUGAAUUGGUAUUUGUUUUCACCAUUAAAUUUAUUUUAUGAGUAACGUCCCAAUUCAGAAAGUAAUCGGGACCAGUGGGACUUCUAGAUCAGCAUGCAUGUUCAAAAGGAAACCCAUACUUACUUCGCUACCUAGUACCUACUGCAAUUUUUUAUUUUCCUUUCACAUGAAUAAUCAUUGAUAAAACAGACUGGAUUUCAAGUUUAAUAUAGCUUGCUUAUUGCAAAAAUAGAAAAAAAAAAAAAAAGAAUUGAUAGCUACAUUCACAUAUAUAAACAUAUUACGACUAUGUUUAUGGUUGAUUAGCACUAUAAACUAGUUCAAAAUCAGUAAUACACAAAAAAGGAAAGUUCAAAAAAUAUAUAUUCGGUAGGUUGCCGUGGCACCCAUUCUUUGGUAGUUGAAUAUAUAUUUUUGAAAAAUUAUCUGAUUAUAAAUUAAACNACAUGUCAUACUCUCAAUCAAUUUGUCAAAUUUCAUUUUUUGGUUAUUUUCAAUUAAUAUAUUUUCAAUAUGUUAUUUUUUGAGUUUUUCUAUUUUAUUAAAUUGCAUAUAAUAUUUUAAUGUAAUAAUUACAAUAAAUGUUGUAAUAAAUGGAUAUCAAUUUUAAUAAUAAACUUACCCUUUAUUUUUAAAAUUUUCAAAUUAAAGCUUAUUAGUUUCUUUUGUUUAUUUAUUUAAAUUAUUUGUUUAAAUUUAAAAUUUCCAAAUUAAAACUUAUUAGUUUCUUUUAUUUAUUUAUUUAAAUUUAAAAGAUAGAAAACAUUUCAAUUAUAACAAUUCAUUAUUUUUCUUAUUUUUUUAUAAAUUCAAAGUUUUCAAAUAUUUUGACAUUUAUAUUUAACUUUUUUUAUAUACUAAUCUAUCAUAAUAAAUGAAAAUCAUUUUGCCAAAUGUCAUCUUCUCAUUAAAUUUGCCACAUGUAAUUUUAUAAAUUUUUUGAUUAAAUUUAAAUCCACAUAUCAUUUUGUGUUUUUUUUAAUUAAAUCAAUUAAUAUGACACAUAAUACUAAAUUUAUAUAUGUAAAAUAUUAAAUAUAUUUAAUGUGAUAAUAAAUGCAAGGAAUCUUAAAAAAUAUAUAUAUGAUAUAUUAAAAUACAUUGAAUAUGAUAAUAAAUUUAAUGAAUAUGAUAAAACAAUCAUUAAUAUUAUAAAUGAUCUUAUUAAUAGUGAUUCUAUUUAUUCAUUAGAAUAUGUCUAUUUAUUUUGAAAUUUUAUUUUAAAAAAUUCUUAAUAUUUAAACUUUGAUAUAUUUUUUUAAUCAACCCGUGUAAUACACGGGAUUCACACCUAGUACCUAAUAAAUGAAGGUUUUUUUGCCACAUUGCAUCACCUAAUUUAAUAUGCAACAUGACAUUUUUUUUAACUUUCAAUUUCAUUUAAAUCCACUUGGCAAUUUGUGGUUUUUUUUUGGCUUUGUUAUUAAAUUAUCAAAAAAUCUAAUCUAAAAAUAUAAUAAAGAAAAUAAAGAAAACUGAAAUGUCUCCAUAAAUUCUCACGUAAUUUGUCAAUUAAUAUAUUAAAUUCAAUUUAAAUUCAAAUCAAAAUUUCUAAUUGAAAAACAUGUAAUGCUUAACAAAAUAUAUUAAUUAAAAAAAAACUCAUGUAUUACUGAUAUGUGCAUAAUUAGUCAUAUUUUGUGUUAAAUCUUAAUACUUUUUGGCUAUUUUAUUGCAAAUUAUGAACAAAAUGUAUUUAAAUAUGUUUAAAAUGUAUUUGUAGCCUAAAAGAUGAGCUCGGAAUCGAAAGGAAGCAGAAAAAGUUAUAGGAAGCUCGGGAAUUGAAGAAAGAAAAACCUUGAAGAACUCGACGAGUUGGGUGCCUACUCGCCGAGUAGGCUCGAAGAUUCACGAACAAAUAAGAGUUCUUAUAGUAUACGGAUUUUAAGUGGUGGACUCGCCGAGUCGGUAUAUAGACUCGACGAGUAGCCCCUGUUUUCAGAAACUAUAUAAAGGGCUUUAAUUCACGAAUUUGGGACCUCUCUUGGGAACCCUUGAAGGAUAAUUUACGAUUCAAACUACUGCUGGAGCUCUAGAACUUGAAGAUCAAGUCUAAUCAUUCGAUUUUGGGGAGAUCAAGGCAAUUCAAGUGUACUCUUUACUUAAUCUUUUGUUUAAAUUAUGUUUGCAUCAAUUGAUUCGUUUUUGAGUUGUUUUCUACUUUAAUUAUGAGCCAAAAACUCAUAACUUCUGUUUAGGAUAGAUAACUUCAUGAAUAUGAUUUGAUUUUAUGAUUGGAUUAAUUUAAUUUGGUGAUUUUGUUUUGUAAAGUUUGUUAAAGAACCUUAUGUGUUAAUUACAAUUAUUUUCUGUUAAUUAACCAACAUAUUAAGUUGCAUUAACAUCUCUUGAUUGCUAAUCUCAUAUAAUUUGUGUGAAAACAUUGUUAUAUGCCUAGGAAUAGCGAACGUGAAACUAGGGUUAAUUAGAAAAUAGGUAAAUUAAUGUCUGAGCUUGUGUGACGAACCAUCAACAAGAGGUUAAUUGAAUUAGCAAUUUGAUUAGCUACUACAAGUCUUAUUUAACCCGAAUCAAUAAACUAGAAAAUCUAUUAGUUUAAUCAUUUGAUUACUGCUUAAACUGAUUUGUUUUCUAAGGAUUAGUAAUAGCGAACGUGAACCUAAUCACACUAAUCGGUAGCCAAAUGCUAAUUAAUCCAUUACACUUGUCAUAAAAUCAACCAUAUGAAUAAAUGAUCCAAAACCUAAACAAAAGUCUUUUCCAUUAUUGAAUUUAGUUGAUUUUCGUUUGUUUAGUUGUUAGUUGCUUAGUUGAGUAUUAGUUAAAUACUUAAGUUUCUAGUCUUGCAAAACUAGAGAAAACCCUUUCUUUUUACUUGUUUUAAAGUAAAUUACACGAAUGGUCCUUAGGGUUUGAGGUAAUUUGCACAUUUGGUCCCUAACUUAUUUUUUUAACUCGGAAAGUUCCUAUUGUUUGUUUUUGUUACGCCAUUGGUCCCUACUAUUUGUUUUUGUUACGCGCUUGGUCCUCAUCUUACCUAAAAAGACUAUUAUUAAAAUAGGAAAAAAUUGUGGGGUAGGUAAGGUAAGGUGUGGAGGAUGAGGUUGGUGGUGUGUUUAUUUAAAUAAAUUAAAAAAUAAGGGCAAAAUAGGUUGUUUCGUUAAGAAAGGGACCAAACGCGUAAAAAAACAAAAAGUAGGGACCUUCCGAGUUAAAAAAAAUGUUAGGGACCAAAUGCGCAAAUUACCCUAAACCAUAGGGACCAUUCGUGUAAUUUACUCCUUGUUUACUGUUCCCUGUGUUCGAUUCCCUACUUACCUAAACUAAGCUGCUAAUCGAUAGGUGCACUGUCUUUCGUGUGUUUGUUUCUGUGUCUAAGUUAGUAAGAUUAAAACUAGUGCAUUCCACACAUAUCAAGUUUUUGGCGUCGUUGCCGGGAAUGGUUCUAAAUAGUUAAUUUUAUUUGCUAAUUGUUAUCAUUUUUUAUUUUAUUUGUUGAUUAUUUUUUUAUAUAGUUUAAUUUUUAUUUUUAUUUAUUAUGUAUUUUCCAAAUCUCGAUGCUUUUGAUGUUUUUCUCGAGGAAGUAGUACAGGAAAUUGAGCAAGAAGAUGAGGAGUAUGACUCAGAUGAUGAUUUGAAGAAAUUUGGAAGAUGGUUAGAUAACAUCUUGCCUAAUGAACAAGAACAAUCUGAGUCAUAAGAGCUAAAGUUACAAGAUGAAUAAUUUAAUCCAAAAAGAGAUUUAGAGGAGCUGGAAAGGUUGUUGGUAGAAGGGUCAGACGAAGAACAAUAACAAGUUGAAUUGUAGGAACCAAGCUGUAGUUUGACCAUUACCACGACAUGGCCCCCUGUAUUUCCAGUUUGUGUUUCGAAGCAUGGGGUGACGAUUCCAACUUUGGAGAAAAUUCUGAAGCGCGAUCCAUUUCUGAUUAGUACCUGACCGGUUCCCACCCUUGUCAAGAUUCUUGGGUCACAUGAAUUCAAUCUCGUUUGGCCAAUUUUUGAAGCAAAUAGCCAAAUUUUACAAAUUGGUCUAAAGAAAAUAUUCAAUGCAACGGAUGGAUUGACAUUGAGUUUAUUGGAAGUUUAUUAAGUUAGGAGUCCAGCUCAAGACUCGCACAAAAAGAAGCGCUUGCGAGAGGCAACCCGUCAUUAGAGUUUGCUUUUCUUUUUAUUUUUCAUUUUGCUUGAUUUAAUUUUACUUUUAUAUGUUUGGUUAAAGAUACUUUUUAUUUUUGUUUGUUUUGAUUGUUUUAUUUUGAACUUAUGGUAGCUGGGAUUAUUUAGGAUGUUUUUGUUUUCUAUCACUUGUGGUUGCUUUGAUCUUUUUAGUUUGAGGCUUAGGAUUGCAUGUGAGGGUAUAGAGUCAAGGCUAACCAGGUAAGAAGUCGAGUCUAGGCAAGAGAGAAAACGAAGUUUUGAGUCAAGUUAUAGAGUAUUUAUUGACUGAAGAAAAAUGAGGGAAAGUAUUAGUUUAUAUUACCCCCAUACAUCAGAAACGGACCUGGGCAGAAUACAAAUUUCUCCACACAGCGGUUUACUCGUCGAGUGCAUCUUAUGGACUUGACGAGUCCAUGUGAAAUUUCGCGACUUUUCUGUCAGUUACGCUACAACUCGGCGAGUCAGUAUAUCUACUCGACGAGUCACUCGUUAAUUCUAUUUUGAAGUUCACAAUUUGACCACAUUUGAUACGGGCAUAGGUUCUUUUCUUUGGAGAUCAUUUUCACAGCAUUUCCAAGAGUUUUUUCUCUUAUAAUUGGAGUUGUACCACACGAGAUUUUGACACCCAAGACAUGGAUGAGUUGUUCUCAUGUCUAAAGUCAAUUGAAGAUGGAGCUUAAAGACAGAAUAUCAACUUCGCACUACUAUCACAGGGGAGUUUGUUCCAAUUCUCUUUUUAUUUUAUGUUCUUUAUCAUGCAUAACAUGCAAUGAGGACAUUGCAUAAAUUAAGUGUGGGGUAUGGGUCGGUUAUUUUAGUUAAAUUUUUAAAAUUUUGAAAUUUUUGCAUUAAAAUUGCUAGGGCUAAUUUAGAAAAUUUUGAUAAAGCAAUUAGGGUUCAAGCUAGUAUUAGGUUUGAAGAUUUUAUGAAGAACCAAAAUGUUUAGUUGAGCCUCUACACGUUAUAGUGCAUUUAUGGCCCCCUUUAUUCUAGUGAUAUCAUGAGACAAAAACACAAUCUCGCUUAGUUUGAAGAUCGCAAUAUGUUUAGCAUAGUAUACUUGAAAUAUAUCCAAGAAGACUAAUAUAUUUAACCAAUAAAUGUUGAAGUUGAGCCCCCCUACUUAAGCAUGUAGGUUUUGAGUGAAAAAAAAAAUGAGAUACAUGUAAAACAAAAGAGAGAAAAUUACAAGAAAAGUUGUAAGAAUUUUGGAACAAUCAAAGUGAAGAUCAAAAGAUCAAAGUUCUGAAGAAAUUCAAAAAAUUUGAAGAUACCAAAAAUCAAACGAAAAAGGUGGUGAAUUCAAGGAAAUCAAGAUCAAAUUAUUAAAGACGUGAAGAAUUCCAAAGAGGUCUAUUGUGGUAUCGAAAAGUUGUAAUUUUCUAGAUUAUGUAUGCUUGGGUUGUUGGACCAAAAAUACAUUGAGGUUAGGAAGUUUUAUGCGGAUGGAUUCAGAGGGAUGCAUAAAAUGAGCGUUGUUCAAAAGAACUGCCGAGUGUUUAUGAUGAUUGUAAGUAUUUAGAAUUGAGGAGGGUCCUUAGGAAAAAUUUUAGACACAAAUGCAUGCGUUGCGAUCUUGGCAUAAUGGNNNNNNNNNNNNNNNNNNNNNNNNNNNNNNNNNNNNNNNNNNNNNNNNNNNNNNNNNNNNNNNNNNNNNNNNNNNNNNNNNNNNNNNNNNNNNNNNNNNNNNNNNNUAUAUAUAUAUAUAUAUAUAUAUAUAUAUAUAUAUCCUCCCUAAUAAAUGAAAAUUAUUUUGACAAAUGUCACUCUCUCAUUAACUUGGAUAAAUGUCAUUUUUUGGUACUUCUGAUUAAAUGUUUUUUCCAUUUGUCAUUUUCUUAUUUUUUUUUUUUUUAUCUUUUCUUAAUUAAGAAAUCAUAUUUACACCUCAAUUAAUCAUUGCUUUAAUUGAAAAUAACCAAUAAAUUACAAUAUUUGUACUCAUUUAGUAUUUAAUAUGUUUCCUUUUAGAUUCAAAUUUUAAAUUUUAAAUUUCAAAUUUAAAUAAAUUUUUGUUUAAACUUCUAAUUUAAUUUUUGUUUUAUCAAACUCGUAUAACAUACGGGUCUCACACCUAGUACUCUAAUAAAUGAAGGUUUUGUUUGCCAUUUGUCACACUCAUUCAAUUUGCCAAAUGUCAUUUUGUGGUUAUUUUGAAUUAAUUUUUUUUUCCAUAUGCCAUUUUAUAAGUUUUUUAUUUUAUCAAAUUCCACAUAAUAUUUUAACAUAAUAAUUGCAAUAAAUGUGGUAAUAAAUGGAUAUCAAUUUUAUUAAUCAACUUACCUUUUAAUUUCAAAAUUCCCAAAACUAAAGCUCAUUAGUUUAUAUUGUUUAUUUAUUUAAAUUAUUUGUUUAAAUUUAAAAGAUAAAAAACAUUUACAUUAUAAUAUUUCAUUAUUUUUUUUAUUUUCUUAUAAAUUCAAAAUUUUCAAAUAUUUUAACCUUUAUAUAUAUUUUUUUUAAUUAACACAUGUAAUGGGUCUCACAACUAGUAACCUAAUAAAUAAAAAUCUUUUUACCACAUGUCAUCUUCUCCUCCAUUUUGAUAUAUGACAUUUUCUUGUAAUUUUGAUUUACUUAUAUUAUACUUGUCAUUAUAUGGUGUUUUUCGGUUUUUAAAAAUGCCAACUAAUACUAAUAUAAAUUUAUUAAUUCUUUCUAAAAUUAACUUUCUUUCCAUAAUAUAAUCACUACAUUUUUGGCAAUAAACAUAGCCAAAAUACCAUUAUUUUUUUAGAAAUAUUUUAUAAGAUUUUUUUUAAAUGACACCUAAGAGUAUUGAUAUAAAGUUUAUUAAGACUUUCUAAAAAAACAUAUCUUUCAUAAUUUACUUCCUAAAAUUAUGUCUCUGUACACACUCACUAUACCGUUUUUUUCUAAAUUGAAAAAAAGAGAGACUUGAUAACUUAUUUCAAAAUAAAUGUUCAUAUGUAUACAUGGAAAUUUGGAGAUAUUAUACGUGGCAUAAGGAUAUGCUAUACACAUGUAUAGUUAAGUUUUUAUAAGUAUACAUAUAUACAUUCUUGAAGGGCUAUAUAUGUAAAUUAUUUAAGUAAUAGAGACGGAUUUUUUUAAAUAUCUUAUAAGAUAAAAAAAUUUAAAUUGACACAUAACACUACUAAUAUAGAGUUUAUUAAGAAUUAAAAAAAAACAUUUCUUCAAUAAAAAAAAGUCUUUAGACAAUAACGGUAAACUUAGCAUUAAGACAUAUAAUGUUGUAUUAAAAAAGUCUUUGAAAAUUCAUGAUUAACAUUUAUUUUGAAAGUUUACUUUAAAUAAUGGUUACUAUUUACAACGUCAUAUUCAACACAGUUAUUUAAAAUAUUUCAAUAGUUUUUUAUUAAUAUAUAUUAAGUUACUUAAUAAUUCCCAAUUUCGUUUGUAUUUUUUUCUAAAUUUAUUUUAAAAAUGUUAAAUGUUUACACCUUGAUAUUUUUUUAAUAAAUCCGUGUAGUACACAGGUCUCACACCUAGUGUGUGUAACAAAUCAAUUAAUAACACUUUUAACCAUAAAGGAAUGAACCAAUUUCGUCCAUAAUUCUAUUACAAAUAGUGGACGUGCAUGCAUACGUUGCCAUACAAUUAUAAAAAAAACUUAUUUCUUGUUUUUUAGUUUUUAUAAUUAAUUUUUAUCGAAAAAAAAAUAACAUAUGAAAAUUCAUAAUUUUUCAGUUUCUAUAAAUAGGCAUCCAUAUUGAAUUAAAAAUAAAUAAAAAAUAAAAAACCUUCCAACUAGUUCAAAUGCAAAGUGUGAAUCCCAAAUCUGUAUAAUUAAAGUGUUUGGCAACUACAAUGUGAAUCUGUGAAUCUGGUCAUCUGAUAUUAGGGGUGUUCAAAAAUAUCCGUAUCCGAAAUUCCGAUCCGAAAUUCCGAAAUUCCGAAUCCGAAUUAUCCGAAAAAUCGGAUAUCCGAAAUUUCGGAUAUCCAAUUUUUCGGAAUCAGAAUUGGAUAAUGCUUUUCAGAUUUUUCGGAUAAUUCAGAUAUCCGAUAUCCGAAAAUUUUGGUUUUAUUUUAUACAUUAUUUGUUAUUUUAGUCGCAUAUGUCUUAUGAUAUGAAUUUUAGUAACUAAAACAUAUUGAUAACACCCUUAAUUAAAUACCUAUAUUACUUCAUAUGCCUUUCUAAUUUAAAAAUAUGUAUUUUUAACUUAAAAACUUCAUAUGUUUUUCAAAUUUUAACAAAAUUUCAAUUUUUCGGAUAUCCGGUUUGGUAUCCGAUUCCGUAUCCGAAAUUUCGGAUAUCCGAAAUUUCGGAUACGGAAUCGGAUACCAAAAAUCAACUAUCCGAAAUUUCGGAUAUCCGAAUUUUCGAAUAUCCGGUUAUGAACACCCCUAUCUGAUAUUGAUAUGUGGAUUAUAGUAAAUUUACAUGUGAAUUUGUGAUAAAUUCACUUGCGAAUCUAGCAAAGCUAGUUUAUAAAUAAUCAAAACGUUGAAAUAGCAUAAAAUUACAAUUAAAUAUACUUCGAUUCAUAUGUAAAUACGACUAUUUAUUUAAAUUUGGAUGUGGAUGUAAGUGGUUCAUUCGUAAAUCUCACUAAAUUAUUUUAUGAAUGAUCAAAGUUUUGAAAUAACAACUCAGAUUCACAGUCCAAAUACUAAAAACUGAAUUAUAUAAAGUUUAGAUUCACAAAAAAAAAACAAAAAAAACUUAUAUGUCAAUAUGGAUGUUUUUUAUAAAAGACAAAAAAUUAUAAAUUUUGGUAUAUUUAGUUUUUUUUCCAUAAAAAAUAUGAUCUAAACUUUUUUUUUCAAAACACUUUUUUUUUUUAUAAUCUAAUGCAAGUGCGUUCAACAUCUAAAUAUACAAUCCUUCUUUUGGCCCUUAAUCAUUUUUUCUCUAGGCCAACAUUGGUUUCUUGAUUUUAUGGUUUAAAAAAUCAUUGAAGUCAACUGUGUGUGUGUGUGAGCGGUUUAAUUAGUUUGUUUUGAAAUGAAAUAGUUUCAAUAUAUUUGUUAUUAUCUUAAAUAGUAUAAAGAUUAAUUGUUGAUAAGAAUUUGUUGAAUAAAAGGCUGGGUUGUGAAGGACGUCCUAUAAAACUGAAAUCAGGUUGUUGUUAAUGAUUACACAUGUGGACGAGAGAAAAUAAUUUUUGAAUGAAAGGUCGUGUGGAGUUGCCGAUUUUUAUACACUAACGGUAUAUACUAUAUACUUUUGAGGAAAAGACAAAAAGUCAAUAUGGAUUUUGAACUAAAAAAUAAUUUGAAUUUAGAGAGGGUAGUUGACCUUACUAUUGGGUCCGUAUAUAUNUGGAAAUUAAAGAAACGAUUGGCAUGGAAAAUACGUAAAAUAUAUCUGGAAUUUACCUCUUUCUGGUUGAUCUGUCUCUAUAUAAACCCCAUCACCCUUUUGGCCUCCCACUAAAAGGCUCUUCUUCUCCAGCAACACCAAGCAUCCUACAUCCGAUAUUCUCCCUUCAUUAGCCCAAUAAAACCAAACAAAAUCAGAGAGUGAGAGAGAGGUGUAUUAAAUAUUAAUGAAGCUUUUCACUACUAUUUUUUAUUUAAUUAUGUUUCUAGCUUCUCUUUUAUCAUACUGUUUAUUCAAGAAAGAAAAAAGGAGGCACAAACAAACAGCCAGGCUUCCUCCAGGUUCAAUGGGGUGGCCUUGCAUUGGUGAAACUCUCCAAAUGUAUUCACAAGACCCCAAUAUUUUUUUCGCCUCAAAGCAGAAAAGGUUCGUAUAUCAUAUAUCAUAUAUCACAUAUCACAUGCAUAAAUAUAUAUCACACGUACGCAUGCAGAAAUAAAUAUAAAAAAUAUGAUAUAUAAUGUUGUUUGAUUUCCCAUGAUCAGGUAUGGAGAUAUAUUCAAAACCAGAAUACUUGGGUACCCUUGUGUCAUGCUAGCAAGCCCUGAAGCAGCUCGUUUUGUGCUAGUGACUCACCCUCACUUAUUCAAACCCACAUACCCAAAAAGUAAAGAAAACUUAAUCGGACCUUCAGCCCUGUUUUUUCAUCAAGGCAAUUAUCAUGCUCGCAUGAGAAAGCUAGUUCAAACCUCAUUUUCUCCAGAAGCAUCUAGAAAGUUGAUCAAGGAUAUUGAAAAUAUCGCCAUUUCUAGCCUUCAAUCAUGGUCAAACGGUCAAGUCAUUAACACCUUCCUCCAGAUGAAAAAGGUACGUAUAUAUAUGAGUAUAUCAUUUUUAAUUACAAAUAUAUAUAAGUAUUUAUAAUUUUAUAUAUAUAUAUAUAUAUUCUCUACAGUUUGCUUUUGAGGUAGGAGUUUUGUCAAUCUUUGGUCAGUUGGAGAAGAAAUAUACACAAGAGUUGAAGGAGAAUUAUAGCAUAUUAGAAAAAGGUUACAAUUGUUUCCCAACAAGCCUUCCAGGAACCGCAUAUCAUAAAGCUUUAAAGGUAAAUAAGAUUUUUUUAAAAUAUAUAUAUAUUGUAUGGUUUUUCAUUUAUUAUAUAAAUUAUUGAUUGAUUGAUGUGAAAAUGUGAAGGCAAGAAGAAGACUGAAUCGGAUUAUUGGUGAGAUUGUCCAAGAAAGGAAGGAGAAGAAAUGGUUAGCAAGCAAUCUCUUGGGACAACUCUUGAACUUCAGGGACGAAAUGGGAAAUACAUUAAGUGAUGAACAAAUAGCGGAUAAUAUUAUCGGGGUACUUUUUGCAGCUCAAGAUACAACAGCUAGUGUCCUAACAUGGAUACUCAAAUAUCUUCAUGAUGAUCCAAAACUUCUAGAUUAUGUUAAGGUGAUAUUAAUCUGAUUAUAGCAAUGUACUUUUUCAAUANNNNNNNNNNNNNNNNNNNNNNNNNNNNNNNNNNNNNUUUCUACUGGUGGAAUACAUAAUGGCAGGCAGAGCAGAAGGCACUAUGUGAAUCUGAAAAUGGAGAGGAACAGGGGUUGACUUGGUCAAAGACAAGACAAAUGCCUCUAACAUAUAGAGUAUGGAGUUAUAAACCUUGGAUUCUUGUCAUUUUAAUCUUUUUGGUGUAGUAUAUAAGUUAAAUCUUUAAUUAAUGAUAAUCAAUUUCAGGUAAUACUAGAGACUCUGAGGAAGGCAAGUAUUAUAUCUUUUACUUUCAGGGAGGCGACAGUUGAUGUUGAAUACGAAGGUGAGUAAAAGAAAGAUUAAUUUAAAAGAUUUAGACAUAUUUAGUAAGUGAUUUUAAUUAAUUAAUUAAUUAAUGUGUGAUGAUGUAAUUAUAAUUGUAAUUUGUAAAUAAACAAACAGGAUAUCUUAUCCCAAAAGGUUGGAAAGUGAUGCCGUUGUUCCGGAACAUUCAUCACAAUCCUGAAUUUUUCACGGAUCCUGGAAUCUUUGAUCCCUUUAGAUUUGAGGUAUGGAAUGCAACACCUGCCCAAAGUUACAGUUUCAGUCCCUGUUGAUUAAACCAUUUACACAAAAGUUGAUAAUGAUUUUUAUGAGUUUUAUUUAAUCUCUUUAUUUCCAUUCUCGCAGAAUCCUCCAAAACCUAAUACAUACAUGCCAUUUGGCAAUGGAAUACAUGCAUGUCCAGGAAAUGAACUUGCAAAAGUUGAGAUGCUUGUUUUACUACACCACAUGCUUACAAAGUAUAGGUAGGUAUAUAUAUUAUAUAUGAUGUUAAUAUGUUAAAUAAUUAUGGAGGGUAUUUUGGUAAUUUGACCAUGUUGAUUUUUUUUUUUUUUUUUUGUUAAAUAACAGGUGGGAAUUGGUGGGUUCAACAAACUUUAUACAGUAUAGUCCAUUUCCAAUUCCAGAACAUGGGCUUCAAGCUAGAUUCAAGAAAGAAAUUUGACAGUUAAUAAUGUCUAGUGCAUACUGCAUGCCCUACUUUUUUACAGGGUUUAGCUACAUGUAUUUAAUACUUUCUGUAUAUCACAUUUGUAUUGUAUAUGUAUUCAUGAUAUAGAUAUAUAUAACAGAUGCAUCUUUACUUAUUAUCAUUGUGUCUAUAUGUAUGUAUCAAUAAAGAAAGCUCUAAUAAAGAAGAUAAAUAUUUGCUUCCUAUCUUAACCAAAUCUUCAUACUUACUUUUAAUCAUCUAUCUAUUUUGGAUUGUUAUAAGAGCAUGGUGGGAAUAACUGUUAACAUUUAGCUUCUAAUGUGAUUUUACUAUCACAACACAGAUAUUAUAACUCAUACAGUAACUAUUAUUAACAUAAGCAUCCAACUUCUAUAACAAAAGAAUGUUGGAUGUUGUAAAGUUUACAACAUCCAACAUUGUUUUGUUAUAGAAGUUGGAUGCUUAUGUUCAUAAUAGUUACUGUAAUCAUAAUUAGAGGUAAUCACUAAAGUGACAAAAAUGGGAGGUGUUAGAAAAGCAUAUGAUCAUUUGUUUGGGAGACUAACAGAAAAUAACCACCCGUUUAUCAGAAUGGGUUUUGCAAAAUUAUCUAAUUACUUUUCUGUACAUUUUCAACAAAAAAAUCCAAUUAUAUUACGCAAUUAUUAAUAUUUUAAGAAAAUAUGAAAAAAAAAAAAAAAAAAACAAAACAAAACAAAAUAUGAGCAAUUUCACAAUAAAAUUUUCUGAAAUUAUUUGUAUUUUUCAAAACACCUAUUGUUUUGCAAAAUAAAUAGCAAAUGAACAUUUUUGUAGUGGGGACCAUUCAUAAAGUAAUUUUACAAAUCAAAGUAAUUUCAUAAAAUCCAUUUUACCAAAUAGGUGAUUAUUUUGUGAUAGUUUCCCAAAAUAUGGCCAUUUUGUGUUCUAAAACCUCCAUUUUGUCAUCUUAGUGAUUACCCCUCAUGUUCAAUACAUUAACUUUUACAACUUCCAACUAAAAAGACCCAAAAAGGUGUUGGCGGGUCGACCCAACAUAUCAUGAACCAUCCUAAAAUUUUACCCAUUUUGGCUCAUUACCCACCCACCCAACCCAACCCAAUAAUGGAAAAAGGCUAGCAAAAUACAAACUGAUAUGGAAUAUUACAUCCAACUAUCUGGCAAAAUUUUCUUGCGAAGGGAGCUACAAAGAAGAAUUCACAUUUGCAAAAGGAAUCACAAGAGUAGAUAUAUAGAGGCAUGUUUCAAAAUUAUUGAGCUCCAUCACUAUUAUCAAUAAUUGAGAUUUGUCAACAUGUUGAAAGGUCCUUAGUAGUUGGUAGAUGCAUAUAACAUUAUGAGUGAUGGCCUACCAUCAUGGGCUUCAUGGUAAAAAGUGUUUAUAAUGACAUUGUAUAAUACUCCCCUACUCAACAACUACAUUGGAAAGAAAGCUAUAGGUAAAUUACUAAAUUAAUGUUGCAAAACAUUGAUGUUUCUAGGUUUCUAGCUUUAAAAUAUGAAGCAUUGUGCAAGUUUUCAAGAAAAUAGAUCAAAUCAAUGCAAUGUUUUCAAGAAAUCACAUUGAUAUGAUUGUGAUUAUCAAGGAAAUGAUAUAGACCAUACGAUACUAAACAAUGACUAUAUGAUAGAGUUUUUAACAAUUACGCACAUUACUUUCAAAAGAAAAACACAACUCAUACAUCUAUCAGGUUACCUGUUUGUAUGAAGGAAGGCAUUGAAGUAUCAAAUCGGAAACGAUUUCGUCCCUGAAAUGGAGGUUAGCCUCCUUGAUCAUAUAAGGCCAAAAAAAGAUUACAUUAAUCAACCUCAUUAGUCAUUUCUCAAGGACCUCAAGCUUUCAGGAAUCUUCUAAACAUUGAAUACACCAUAUAUUCAAGACCAAUAUGUCUAAUCAAGAUAAGGAGAUACGAAAAUAGCAUGCCAUAUCUAAUCUCAUCACCUUGGAAGGACCACAAAUAGAACAUUUAUUAUUGUUCAUGUGAACUACUGUUCUAUAGUACGAUAUA
This 33484-nucleotide long non-coding RNA is filed under the name Lactuca sativa (garden lettuce). Its description in RNAcentral is "long non-coding RNA (LSAT_LNC005767)". The record is from RNAcentral. Lineage: Eukaryota; Viridiplantae; Streptophyta; Magnoliopsida; Asterales; Asteraceae.